UACAGAGGUCCCGAGCGUUGUUCGGAUUCACUGGGCGUAAAGGGUGCGUAGGUGGUGAGGAAAGUCGGAUGUGAAAGCUCGGAGCUCAACUCCGAAAUGGCAUUGGAAACUACCUUGCUCGAGGGUUGGAGGGGGGACUGGAAUUCUCGGUGUAGCAGUGAAAUGCGUAGAUAUCGAGAGGAACACCAGUGGCGAAGGCGGGUCUCUGGACAGUUCCUGACACUGAGGCACGAAGGCCAGGGGAGCAAACGGG
RNAcentral lists this ribosomal RNA (253 nucleotides) under uncultured bacterium. RNAcentral's name for it is "partial 16S ribosomal RNA". It matches the Rfam family "Bacterial small subunit ribosomal RNA", at positions 524 to 776 of the family's 1533-position model. The record is from RNAcentral.